Molecule: ribosomal RNA, 477 nt
Filed under: uncultured bacterium
Lineage: Bacteria
Description: partial 16S ribosomal RNA
Rfam family: Bacterial small subunit ribosomal RNA
Source: RNAcentral
GAUUAACGCUGGCGGCGUGCAUAACACAUGCAAGUCGAACGAUGAAACUUAGUAGACUUCUUCGGAAAGACACUAAGCGGAUUAGUGGCGAACGGGUGAGUAACGCGUGAGUAACCUGCCUUACACAAGGGGAUAGCCUUUGGAAACGAAGAAUAAUACCCUAUAAAACCAUAAAAGCACAUGCUAGAAUGGUCAAAGUGAUAGCGGUGUAAGAUGGACUUGCGUCUGAUUAGCUAGUUGGUGAGAUAAAAGCUCACCAAGGCAACGAUCAGUAGCCGGCUUGAGAGGGUGUACGGCCACAUUGAGACUGAGACACGGCCCAGACUCCUACGGGAGGCAGCAGUGGGGAAUUUUGCACAAUGGGGGAAACCCUGAUGCAGCGACGCCGCGUGAUUUAGAAGGCCUUCGGGUUGUAAAAAUCUUUUGUAUAGGAAGAAAAUGACAGUACUAUACGAAUAAGGUCCGGCUAAUUACGUG